AUCAGCAGCCGCGGGAAUACGGAGGGUGCAAGCGUUAAUCGGAAUUACUGGGCGUAAAGCGCACGCAGGCGGUUUGUUAAGUCAGAUGUGAAAUCCCCGGGCUCAACCUGGGAACUGCAUUUGAAACUGGCAAGCUAGAGUCUCGUAGAGGGGGGUAGAAUUCCAGGUGUAGCGGUGAAAUGCGUAGAGAUCUGGAGGAAUACCGGUGGCGAAGGCGGCCCCCUGGACGAAGACUGACGCUCAGGUGCGAAAGCGUGGGGAGCAAACAGGAUUAGAUACCCGAGUAGUCCCUGUCUCUUAUAC
This 303-nucleotide ribosomal RNA is filed under the name uncultured bacterium. RNAcentral describes it as "partial 16S ribosomal RNA". It matches the Rfam family "Bacterial small subunit ribosomal RNA", at positions 507 to 807 of the family's 1533-position model. The record is from RNAcentral.